GAAGUAAAAGUCGUAACAAGGUCUCCGUUGGUGAACCAGCGGAGGGAUCAUUACCGAGUUUACAACUCCCAAACCCAAUGUGAACGUUACCAAACUGUUGCCUCGGCGGGAUCUCUGCCCCGGGUGCGUCGCAGCCCCGGACCAAGGCGCCCGCCGGAGGACCAACCUAAAACUCUUAUUGUAUACCCCCUCGCGGGUUUUUUUAUAAUCUGAGCCUUCUCGGCGCCUCUCGUAGGCGUUUCGAAAAUGAAUCAAAACUUUCAACAACGGAUCUCUUGGUUCUGGCAUCGAUGAAGAACGCAGCGAAAUGCGAUAAGUAAUGUGAAUUGCAGAAUUCAGUGAAUCAUCGAAUCUUUGAACGCACAUUGCGCCCGCCAGUAUUCUGGCGGGCAUGCCUGUCCGAGCGUCAUUUCAACCCUCGAACCCCUCCGGGGGGUCGGCGUUGGGGAUCGGCCCUCCCUUAGCGGGUGGCCGUCUCCGAAAUACAGUGGCGGUCUCGCCGCAGCCUCUCCUGCGCAGUAGUUUGCACACUCGCAUCGGGAGCGCGGCGCGUCCACAGCCGUUAAACACCCAACUUCUGAAAUGUUGACCUCGGAUCAGGUAGGAAUACCCGCUGAACUUAAGCAUAUCAAUAAGCGGA
This 640-nucleotide ribosomal RNA is filed under the name fungal sp. ARIZ B056. RNAcentral's name for it is "eukaryotic LSU rRNA". The stretch from base 256 to 409 matches the Rfam family "5.8S ribosomal RNA". The record is from RNAcentral. Lineage: Eukaryota; Fungi.